GUUCUGUCAUCGUGCAGAGGACAGCAGAGUGAAAAAUCCAGUUGCUGUCUUCAAAGUCAAUGAUGACAGACGCAUGCCAGUGCACUCCUCUGCUCCGCCCUUCUAAUUUGUGACGCUAACUAUUGACACUUGACACAGCUGCAGCCAAUCCACCACCUCAAGCGUCUGCAGCCAAAGGAGCGAAUUCAUGUCACCAAGGAGCAGGCAAGGACUGAAUGAAGAACUCAAUGGAUGGCAACAAUUUGGAAACUCUAGCCAACCUCAUAGAGAACUAUCCGUGCAAUCAAAGCAAGAUACUUACAAAUAUAUAUAUACAAGCUACAGCUCCUGUUUCGCCAGCAUGCCCUCAGUCAUGACGUUGGGCCCAAGGCUACCUCUUUUCUACUUUCAAUGACGGAUUGGAGCAAAAUUGUUCAUCCCGGAGGUAUGUGCACAUAUUUUUCGAGCCUUUUCUUAUUGAAGGUUCUGGCUGCAGGGCCCAAAGGCAAUCAUUCAAGAGUACUUCUAUCCAAACUUCUAAUCCAAAGCCUCGGCCCAGGUUCUUGUGAUGACGGUAGCAUGUCAGGAGCUGGUCCAGGUGAGACGUCUGAUCUGAAAAGGAAAACAAGGCAUGGGAAAAAAGAAAAAAAGGCCUUGUGUUUUCGGCAAUGUGGCUCUUUCCACGUGCCCACAAGUUUUUGUUUUCCUAUGUUUUCAAGUCGCGGAGAAAUGAUGAGUGGAUGUCAUUGUCUUGGUGGGUGAGGGCUUACACCUUUCAGUAGGGGUGCAUGGCUCUCAUUUAUAAUUGCAAAUCUGGAACACACGUUUCGGUGCAGAACACGCCCAUUUUAAGGGUAGAUAAACGGACCUCUACUAACUUUGUGAAAAUUCGUUCUCUUGCUGCACCCUCAGCUGGGUACAAGAAAGCGCGAAAGCAGUAGGAGUCAACCACCUUCGUCCGUGAUGCUCAUUUCAACACUUUCUGUGAAACCAAAUGCUUCCAUCCAGAAGUUUUGACCCAGUCUCCACUUUUCAUGAGGAGAAAAAAGUUUAGAGAGUUUAGCCCUUGGCUGUUUCUACUACAGGCAUAUGUUUCGCAGGUAAAAAGUCACAAAGGACAUCUUGCACAAUUUGUGGAGGUCAAUACUGAAUUGUUUCCGUUGGUGAUUCACGCUUGUGAGGUUGUUGUUACGUUUCAGUAGUUAAACUAACAUUUACACGUGGUGGUUCCAUGAUAUUGUGUAAAAUUCACUAAAAAUUGUGUUAAUAAUUUCAGUUGUUCGAAA
Physcomitrium patens is the source of this 1265-nucleotide non-coding RNA. NCBI's taxonomy places the organism in Eukaryota, Viridiplantae, Streptophyta, Bryopsida, Funariales, Funariaceae. The record is from RefSeq and is a predicted model, not a curated record.